UCUGUGUGGGGAUGAAUCCCUUAUCUGGAGACGGUUGGAUGAAUCUUGCGGAUAUGGGACUGAGCACAGGC
Non-coding RNA from Xenopus tropicalis (tropical clawed frog), 71 nucleotides. Lineage: Eukaryota; Metazoa; Chordata; Amphibia; Anura; Pipidae. The record is from Rfam.